UGCGUAGGCGGUCCCUUAAGUUUGGUGUGAAAUCUCCCGGCUCAACUGGGAGGGUGCGCCGGAUACUGAGGGACUUGGAGUGCGGGAAAGGAAAGUGGAAUUCCUGGUGUAGCGGUGAAAUGCGUAGAUAUCAGGAGGAACACCGGCGGUGUAAACGGCUUUCUGGACCGUAACUGACGCUGAGGCACGAAAGCGUGGGGAGCAAACAGGAUUAGAUACCCUGGUAGUCCACGCCCUAAACGAUGCACGUUUGGUGUGGGUGAUUCAGUUCAUCCGUGCCGGAGCUAACGCGUUAAACGUGCCGCCUGGGGAGUACAGUCGCAAGGCUGAA
RNAcentral lists this ribosomal RNA (331 nucleotides) under uncultured bacterium. RNAcentral's name for it is "bacterial SSU rRNA". It matches the Rfam family "Bacterial small subunit ribosomal RNA", at positions 568 to 898 of the family's 1533-position model. The record is from RNAcentral.